Molecule: small nuclear RNA, 197 nt
Filed under: Diplodia corticola
Lineage: Eukaryota; Fungi; Ascomycota; Dothideomycetes; Botryosphaeriales; Botryosphaeriaceae
Description: Botryosphaeria corticola U2 spliceosomal RNA
Rfam family: U2 spliceosomal RNA
About the family: U2 is a small nuclear RNA (snRNA) component of the spliceosome (involved in pre-mRNA splicing). Complementary binding between U2 snRNA (in an area lying towards the 5' end but 3' to hairpin I) and the branchpoint sequence (BPS) of the intron results the bulging out of an unpaired adenosine, on the BPS, which initiates a nucleophilic attack at the intronic 5' splice site, thus starting the first of two transesterification reactions that mediate splicing.
Source: Rfam by way of RNAcentral
UCAGCUCUCUUUGCCUUUUGGCUUAGAUCAAGUGUAGUUUCUGUUCUUUUUAGUUUAGUCUCUAGAACGCCCCUACGGGGGCACUUCUAUUGAUUAAACCAGUUUUUGGCAACGGGUCGAUGGCCUCUGGGCUCCGCCUACCGUCAUUGACCACAGUGUCGCCCGUAUUGCACUGCCUCGGGCUGAUGCGAAUUCAA